UAAGGAAUAUUGGUCAAUGGACGCAAGUCUGAACCAGCCAUGCCGCGUGAAGGAUGAAGGUCCUCUGGAUUGUAAACUUCUUUUAUCUGGGACGAAAACGGGAUUUUUAUCUCAAUUGACGGUACCAGAGGAAUAAGCACCGGCUAACUCCGUGCCAGCAGCCGCGGUAAUACGGAGGGUGCGAGCGUUAUCCGGAUUUACUGGGUUUAAAGGGUGCGUAGGUGGGCUUAUAAGUCAGUGGUGAAAUCUCCGAGCUUAACUUGGAAACUGCCGUUGAUACUAUAGGUCUUGAAUUAUCUGGAGGUAAGCGGAAUAUGUCAUGUAGCGGUGAAAUGCUUAGAUAUGACAUAGAACACCAAUUGCGAAGGCAGCUUACUACAUAUAAAUUGACGCUGAGGCACGAAAGCGUGUGGAUCAAACG
Molecule: ribosomal RNA, 421 nt
Filed under: uncultured bacterium
Lineage: Bacteria
Description: bacterial SSU rRNA
Rfam family: Bacterial small subunit ribosomal RNA
Source: RNAcentral